GAACACUGUUUUUUGUGAUGCAGGUCUUGUACUUGGAAGACCAAGGGAAAGGCUCCUUAAACAAUUCACAAGGCUGAGAGGGAGAAGCUCAAGCGUGAGCAUUUGAACGAGCUCUUCCUUGACUUGGCGAAUGCUCUCGAUCCGAAUCAACCGAACAAUGGGAAGGCCUCUAUUCUGUGCGAAGCAACUCGACUGUUAAAGGACUUAUUCUUCCUAAUCGAGUCCCUCAAAAAGGAAAAUUCUUCUUUGUUAUCCGAAUCUCACUAUGUGAACGUUGAGAAGAAUGAGCUGGAGGAGGAGAAUUCAACCCUAGAAACUCAAAUCCAGGAGCUGCGAAGUGAUAUAGGGAAAAAGGCGGCUCAAUCCGACCGGAGCG
Hibiscus syriacus is the source of this 376-nucleotide long non-coding RNA. RefSeq lists it as uncharacterized. NCBI's taxonomy places the organism in Eukaryota, Viridiplantae, Streptophyta, Magnoliopsida, Malvales, Malvaceae. The record is from RefSeq and is a predicted model, not a curated record. The transcript has 3 exons.